This 128-nucleotide ribosomal RNA is filed under the name uncultured eukaryote. RNAcentral describes it as "partial small subunit ribosomal RNA". It matches the Rfam family "Microsporidia small subunit ribosomal RNA", at positions 1174 to 1302 of the family's 1311-position model. The record is from RNAcentral.
CCCUGCCAUUUGUACACACCGCCCGUCGCUAUCUGAGAUGGGCGCGCGCGGCAAGCGCGGGGGCGCGAGCAGCCGCGGCUAGAUUGGAUAAAAGUCGUAACAAGGUUUCCGUAGGUGAACCUGCAGAA